GCCGUCGUAGCACAAUGGUAGUGCGUUGCUUUCCUAUUACUCAUAGGCAAAGGUUGCGAGUUCGAGUCUCGCCGUCGGUU
Molecule: non-coding RNA, 80 nt
Organism: Gymnopilus junonius
Lineage: Eukaryota; Fungi; Basidiomycota; Agaricomycetes; Agaricales; Galerinaceae
Source: the annotation of a GenBank genome assembly